AUUGAACGCUGGCGGAAUGCUUUACACAUGCAAGUCGAACGGCAGCACGGGGGCAACCCUGGUGGCGAGUGGCGAACGGGUGAGUAAUACAUCGGAACGUGCCCGGUCGUGGGGGAUAACGUAUCGAAAGUUACGCUAAUACCGCAUACGAUCUGAGGAUGAAAGCGGGGGACCUUCGGGCCUCGCGCGAUCGGAGCGGCCGAUGUCAGAUUAGGUAGUUGGUGGGGUAAAGGCCUACCAAGCCGACGAUCUGUAGCUGGUCUGAGAGGACGACCAGCCACACUGGGACUGAGACACGGCCCAGACUCCUACGGGAGGCAGCAGUGGGGAAUUUUGGACAAUGGGCGCAAGCCUGAUCCAGCCAGUCCGCGUGCAGGACGAAGGCCUUCGGGUUGUAAACUGCUUUUGUAUGGAACGAAAAGGCUCUGGCUAAUACCUGGGGCUCAUGACGGUACCGUAAGAAUAAGCACCGGCUAACUACGUG
Molecule: ribosomal RNA, 484 nt
Filed under: uncultured bacterium
Lineage: Bacteria
Description: partial 16S ribosomal RNA
Rfam family: Bacterial small subunit ribosomal RNA
Source: RNAcentral